UACGUAGGGGGCAAGCGUUGUCCGGAUUUAUUGGGCGUAAAGAGCUCGUAGGCGGCUCGGUAAGUCGGAUGUGAAACCUCCAGGCUCAACCUGGAGACGCCAUCUGAUACUGCCGUGGCUUGAGUCCGGUAGAGGAGCAGGGAAUUCCUGGUGUAGCGGUGAAAUGCGUAGAUAUCGAGAGGAACACCUGCGGCGAAGGCGGGUAGCUGGGCCGACACUGACGCUGAGGCGCGAAAGCCAGGGGAGCGAACGGG
Molecule: ribosomal RNA, 254 nt
Filed under: uncultured bacterium
Lineage: Bacteria
Description: partial 16S ribosomal RNA
Rfam family: Bacterial small subunit ribosomal RNA
Source: RNAcentral